Non-coding RNA from Platichthys flesus (European flounder), 995 nucleotides. NCBI's taxonomy places the organism in Eukaryota, Metazoa, Chordata, Actinopteri, Pleuronectiformes, Pleuronectidae. The record is from the annotation of a RefSeq genome assembly.
UCCAUAACCUUCACUGUUCGUUAUAUCUUCUUUCAUAGUAAAUAAUGAGAUUUCUAAUCAAAUUAGAUCUGAAUGAGACUUAAUCAAUAAAUUGUCUAUCUUUUCUCUUCUUUGAAGGGUGGUGCCCCGCGAGAACUUUAACCAACUGAAGUUAUGAUCUAAUAUUCAUAUUUUUAAUAUUAAUGUUUUAUAUUUUAUUUUGAUAAGCAAAUUUAUGGAAUGCCUAAAGGCACAACAUUCUAUGGUAACACUUUUUAAGCACUAGUGUACAACAUGUGUUUGAGCUGAAAGCUGCAGAAUAAAGUGACGUGUGGUUGAGGUGUUGGUAACAAGCAGUGAUAUGAGAGGACGCACAGAGAGGGAGGAGCAACACUGUCAAAGAGCAGAAAAGACCUCCUGCUGUGCUGCAUUCAAUAUCUACAGCAGACCUCAGAUAGUGUCUGUAAGAUGUUCCCUCUGCAUCACGCUGGAGUGUGGCCUUUGUUUCUCUUCAUCCUGAAAGGUGUCAGCUGUGAUGAACUGACUCCAGACCAGACUGCAGAGUUCAGUGUAGAAGGCAGCACUGUUACUCUGUCCUACAAGUUCUCCAGGACAAUAACUGGUAAUGAUUAUUUCUUCUGGUAUCGACAGAAUCCAGGACAAGCUCCAGAGUUCCUCAUCUCACAUUCUGCUUCAGGACAAAUACUAGCUGCUCCAACCUCUGGACUGAGGAUUAAAGUGGAGCAGAACCAAAUCCACAUGAACAUCUCCUCUGCUGCAGUGACAGACUCUGCUGUGUACUACUGUGCUGUGAGGCCCACAGUGACAGGAAACUACACAACUCUGUACAAAAACCUGUGGAGCAAACACACAACUCCUCAUCCUCCACUAGAGGGAGUCACUCACUGUUAAACCUCAGUGGUUUGUGAUGACGUUUGUUUCACAAUAAAACAAAUUCCAACAAUCAGCAGGUUCUGUAGGAUAUUUCUUAAAUGUGUGGUGCACCACAGGGUUCA